Molecule: long non-coding RNA, 91 nt
Filed under: Capra hircus (goat)
Lineage: Eukaryota; Metazoa; Chordata; Mammalia; Artiodactyla; Bovidae
Description: lncRNA (ENSCHIG00010029970.1)
Source: RNAcentral
GGCACGAUCCCCGAUUCCGACUGCAUGGCUCCAGCUUCCCGUCCUCGCACUGUUCCAAAGUCUUUCAGAUUGUUGAAUCUGUGCGGACCAU